UUAUAUACUGAAAGGUUGUGAAAGGAGGAUUGAGGGAAUCAUUUGGUGUGCUUGGUUUAUUAUUUUCUUUCGGAGAGCUUGAGAGCUUCCGGUUUCUAGCAAACCCCAGGAAGAAAACCCCUGGGUUUUGAAAAAUAGGAAAAAAAUCCAAUUCCAUCUUGGGUUCUGAAAGAUUGGACAAAAUUCCGAUUGUAUCUUGGGAGGAUUCAUUUCAGAAUUCACAUUGUGCUUCAUGGAUCAAUGCCCUAGUUUUUAGUGUAAAGUUUCAAGGUACUGGGAUGAAGAUUUUAUGAAUUUUUGGAAGCAUGCUACGGCAGUCCAUACUUGCUACAAUGUUGCACUUGUUACAGUGUCGUACUUGCUACAGUACUGUGAUUGCUACAUGUCUGAGAUUUGUUGGAGGUUGUGGCAUCUUAUUCCCUGCCAUUUGUGAGACAUAUUGCUUGGAAAUGGGAUAUUCGCUGGACGUGGGUGGUUUGAGCCUCAUUCUUGGACAUGAUGGCACAUUCCGAGCAAACAUAAGGAACAAUAUUCAUUGCAGAUGCUGCUAUAUAUUUCUGUGCGCUACAUUUUCAUUUUCAGAUUGAUGUAUGAAUUGUAGGUUUGUUGCUGUGUGAUUCAGUCUGGUACAUCCAAAUAAAGGUCUAAUAUUCAGAUCUGAACCUUAUUGAGGUCUUCUGAAUAUAUUUUCUAUGGCUGAAAGUCCAUUCUACUCCUUGUAUGGGAAAGAGGUUCAUAUGAAUGCACUGGUAGUGGAUAUUUUUGCUCAUGUUGCUAUUGCUCACUAAUCUGAGCAUAUUUGCUGAAUCUGCAGCUAAAUGACAGCCAGACACAAGUCUAUGUUUGAGAAAAAUAAAAAGGUGUGGAAGAUCACCCAAGAAUACUCUAUUGAAGACUCCACUCAGGGGUUUUGCUGGUGCAUCAUUUGAUACAUUCUGGUGUUGAUUUGACAGAGAUUUGUUGAGCAUUUCAGGGAAGGGUUUCAGAGUAGAUUUAUCAGCAGAUUUGAGGAGUUUAUUGUUGUUUCUUACUAGCCGUACCAUACCUAGGCAGGCUGUACCAUUCUUGCCUACAAGGUAAUUGUUCCGAGGAGUGGUGUGGGUUCUUAGGGAAGGUUCAGAUUAGAAACCCACAACAAAAUCAGGCCGUACAGUUCUAUUAACAAUAACCCUAUUCAUUAGCAAUUUAUCAUCCUCCAGCUAGGUGUUUGGAUUUGGGUUGCUUGACAACCCUAGGCAUUGCAAAAUUCAGGGUUAUGACUGCAUUUCCAGAUAUUAAAAUAUUGAUUGCUGCUGUUAGAGAUUGAAAUCAGACCUGCUGUUAUCAUCUGCUGAUGUAUAUUGCUUGGCAAGAGGCAUUGGAAAUAGGGAAACACAGCUGGGCUCAUUUGUAUUUCAGUUUUCAAACAUUGAGAGGGUUAGCAUUGCAUACUUUGUCAAGAAGGGCUGACUGAAUUGAGAUCAUUGCUGCAAACUUCCAUUAGCUUGGCUAAACCUUUCCUUGGCUGGGUCGUACAUGUUCUUGCUGGCCGUAUAUUCCAAUGGAGUUGUACAUCCUUGAGGACGGCCGUACUUUCUUGUGGAGCUGGGCAUAGCUGUUUGGGGUGAUUUCUUUGUGGGUUUGUGUUAAUGCAUGGUAGCUUAUGCAAGAUAAGAUCUCCCUAAACUUCCUUGUUCUGUUAUUUACAUGCUUCAUGUCUGAUUUAUAUUGCAUAUGAUUUUCGGAUUGUACAAACACUGCUUAUCAUUAUGCCAUCGGGCUAACAACCCGAUAGCAUAUUAAUGUCAAUUGUUAAUUGGCAUUAAUAUGCUAUCGGGGUAUUAACCCGAUAGCAUAUUAAAUGCUAUAAGUUAUCGGGUUAAAUUCGCCGAUACAUACUUGCUAUCGGGUGCAUAACCA
Long non-coding RNA from Cryptomeria japonica (Japanese cedar), 1899 nucleotides. RefSeq lists it as uncharacterized. The record is from RefSeq and is a predicted model, not a curated record. The transcript is spliced from 3 exons. NCBI's taxonomy places the organism in Eukaryota, Viridiplantae, Streptophyta, Pinopsida, Cupressales, Cupressaceae.